This 8030-nucleotide long non-coding RNA is filed under the name Malus domestica (apple). Its description in RNAcentral is "long non-coding RNA (MDOM_LNC003761)". The record is from RNAcentral. Lineage: Eukaryota; Viridiplantae; Streptophyta; Magnoliopsida; Rosales; Rosaceae.
UCAUAAAAGCGAUAAAGAUCGUUUUGGGCUUAAGAAACGUUCGGGUUUAAUUGGGCCCAUUGGACCUAAACCCAUUGGGCUUUUAUUCAAGCAUUGGAUGACUUGAAAUAAUAAAAGCCCAAAGCCCAAACAAACAACAAAGAGGCCGGCCACUUUAAGGUGGAAAGGGUGAGAUAUUUAGUCAAGUGUUGACUAGGUUUCUUUUGUCUAUAUAAGGAACUUUAUAAGAUAUUGUUCAUUAGGGUUUUUGUGUGGUUAAAACAACAAAGAGGCAAAAGAAUAUCUCUCUAAAAUCCCUACAAAGGCCGGCCACCAAAGAGGGUGAUUUAGCUAACAAUCUUUCACCCUUUUGGUUAUUCCUUCAUCCUUCUCACUACACUAGUGGGUGAGGAUCUUUAGAGGUUUCCUACUUUGGGAACUUGAAGAGAACCUAGGAGCACUCAUUGUAACAAAGUGGAGGAGGUAAGGAAGGAAGCUAGGCUCAAGGAGUUCAAGGAACAAAGGGCUUGGAGGUGGUCCAUCCUUGGUCUCAAGUCUAGAUCAAGAGGUAUAAGACUAAACCUUCACUUUGUUUUUUUUCUCUAAAAUUUUAUUUGAUGCAUUAUAUAUAAACCUAUGAACCUUAAAGGGGAUUUGCAUGACUAUAGCUUUGAUAAUAUGUUAUAAAUGCUUCCGCUGCUUUCGUAUAUCUAAUGUGUCCUUUUGGAUAUGCAUGAUAGUCAUUUAGAAAUCCCGUACAUGAAUCUCAUAGAUUUCCCUUCAAGUGGUAUCAGAGCCAAAGGUUUAUGUAUAAUGUGUCCUUUUGGAUUUAUGCAUAUGGGUAUUAAUGUUAUGUAUGACAUAUUAUUGUUUCAUUCAAAGUAUGUUUAUCUUUUGUUUUUCAAUAGUUGAAAAAUGUUAGUCAAAAGUUGAGAAAGAUAUGUAUGCAAAAGUGUUUUGUAUGCAUGAAUGAAAAAUGAGUUUAGAACUAGUAUGACAUAUUAUUUCUUCAUUUAAAAGUAUGUUUAUCUUUUGUUUUUCAAUGGUUGAAAAAUAUAAAUCAAGAGUUGAAAAGAUAUGCAUGUAAAAGUUGUUUUGUAUGCAUGAAUGAAGAAUAAGUCAUGAACAAAAUUUGGGGUUUUUUGUUCUUUGUGGUUGGCACGGUUUUGGGGGUGGUUUUGGGUUGUGUUUGUGUUUUAUUGUAAACCACUCACACAUCCUUUUAAAGCUUGAAAGAAGUGUUUUUGUCACUUUUGUUUUUGGGUUUGAAAAAUCACCAAGAAUACAAAAAUCUUGAAAAAGUGUUCAUGGUUUUGUUCUUGGUGUUCAUAGUUUGGUUUUUGGUGAAAAUGGUUUUAAUUAAUUUUCUUGUAUUAUUUUGUGGUUUUGGAUGAUGUUCUUACCAUCCAUAACCAUAUAAUAAGUUUAUUAAACCCUAGACUUGACUAGGAGAUUUCCAUCAAACCUUUUCACCUAAGUUUUAAUGCCAAAACCAAGUGACAAGCAAAAUUUUGUUUUUUUCUACUUUGCAUUGAAUUUAUGCAUGUGGGUGAGACUUCCCAUUCCCCCAUUAAGUGGCCGGCCUCCCCUAGUGGAUUUAUCCACUUGUGGGGCUUUUUUUUUUGUAAUCUUGAAAAAGAUAUUUUAUACUUUUGAGUAUUUACGGUUUGACCCUUAACUUUUUCAUAUUUGCAUUUAAGCCCCUACUAACUAGAAAGUUAAAAUAUUUGAUUUUAAUUUUGUUAGUUGUUUAAACUCAUAAUACUAUUAUGCCCAUAUGCACUAAAUCUAAAUGUUUAUGUUGCAUUCCAUUUAAUUAUUUAAAUGUGUUUAAGUAGUUAUGAAAUGGAUGACUUUGGACUUAUGCCUUAAACGAUAAUUGAGCUAUGAGAUAAGGCGCUAAAAUCAAAUUGUUUGAACCUUGGGAAUGUGUUUUAAUUACUGUUUAAUUGGACCUUGUCACAUUUGACGUUAAUCUUUCUCUCCCCUUUUAGUAUAUGUAAUUUAUAGGAAUUUGUACAAAUCGGUUUGUAAUUCUUAUUACUUCUUAAUCUCUAUUCGUUAGUGGAUUCCCUCUAGUGCUAGACUAGAGUUUCUUUAACUAUUGGUAAAGGAGACAUAACUAAAAGAGGGUUUUGACAUGAGAUUAAAGAUUAAAAGGGUCCAAUGCCCAAAUUAGCUUUGAAUGAUUGUCUUUCAUUUCUAAUGACUCAAUGAAAAUGGUUUUAAUUGGAUUGAUAAGCACGUAAUUAAAUUGACACAACCUCCCCGAGUUUAUAUUCAACAAUGAUGGCUCGUUGUUGCAAUAACCUAAUAAGUCCAUGGUCAUCUAAGAGCCUAAGAUAACUAUAAAGUCCAAUUUCAAAGGAAUGCAAAAACCUUAGUAGUAGUAGUUACUUCCAAUAUUUGAAAAAUUCGUUUUUGAUAUUGAUUUGUUUUUUUUCUCAAAACAAAUAGUGGGAGUAUCAUACGCUACUAAACUAUAAUGAAUACAAUUAGUAGUUAUAUAUAUCUCCAAUAUUUUGAAAAAUGUUUUGAUAUUGAUUUGUUUUAUGAAAACGAAUAGUGGGGAUAUUAUAUGCUACUAAUUUCAUUAACUUUGGACUAGUAGUUGUAAUAGGACAUUAUUUAUUUGAUUGUGAUUAAAUAAAUAAAAUUGAUGAGACCUUAAAAUCCCUCAACCAAACAAAUAUUAAGUUGAAAGCGUAAGAGUGCUUAGAACACUUUUUCGUGGCCUUCCACCGUGGUAGGCUCCAAGCGUUUAUGACUUGUACACCGCCUUCACCCUAUCAUGGGGAAGUGACAAAGUGCAUGCUUAUAUUCAGGAGGAGUUUAUUUAAAACAUUUGAUGAGGUUAAGGUAGGCAACGAGUAUGGCCAACAUCAUAUCAUCGUGAGGUCAUGCUUGAACCCCUAGCUAAACCGGCAUGGUGGGAAAGAACUUAACUAAGAAACAUAAUGCCAACAUCGUAUCAUCGUGAGGUAUUGUUGUGAAUGGGUAAUUGUACCCUCUCAUUAUUAUUGUUGCUAGCCGACAUCGUAUCAUCGUGAAGUGGGCUUGGUAAUAAUGAGCCUCCCAUAACCCGCUAGGAGCUUUCUUUGAAAUCUCCCGGAUUCCAUUAUGAGGGAUAUGGAAUUUGCCAAAAAUGGUGGGUGGUGUCAUUCGGUUUAAAGACCCGAAUCGUUUGACUUAAACAACAAUCGAUCUAAUUAUUUUAUUUGUUUAUGUAUAUAGAUAUGGUUGGAAGCACACUCGCGAAAAUACUCGACAAACAUUGCCUAGAGGGGCACAAUUUCCCAUCAUGGUAUCGUAAUGUCAAGAUUCUCCUAACAUUGGAGAAGAUUGUUUACGUACUAGAUAAGCCUCCACCUCACAUACCUCUCAGCCCUGAGGCUACUGAGGAUGAACGUGCUAAGUAUGACAAGCACGUUGAGGAUGAUAUACAAGCCAAGUGCUAUCUGUUGGCUUCCAUGAAUGAGGAGCUACAGAGACAGCACGAGGGCAUGGAUAGUGCAUUUUCCAUAAUACUCCAUCUUACGGAGUUAUAUGGUGAAGGGACGCGCAACCGUCGCUUUAGCACUGUUUGUGAACUUGUAAAGACCAAGAUGGUCAAGGGGGCUCCAGUACACCAACAUGUACUGAAGAUGAUAGGAUUCAUUGAACAAUCGAAGAACCUUGGUACUCCACUUGACAGGGAAUUGGCCCAAGACUUUGUAUUGGCUUCUCUUUCUGAUUCAUUUGCUCAGUUUGUAAUGAACUACAAUAUGAAUAAGAUGGAUAGUACUCUCUCUGAGUUACUAAACAUGUUAGUAACUGCUGAGAAAACUAUGAAGAAAGAGAGCGGUGUAGGGACUGCUGCAGUAGCCUACAACAAGCCAUCCUCUUCCAAGGCCAUGCCGCAAGGAAAAGGCAAAGGGAAGGAGAAGAAGUCACCCACUCCUAAGCCGAAAGAAGGAGUGAGGAAAAAGAAGGCAAAGGAGCCCAAAGGGACUUGCUACCACUGUGGAAAGGAGGGGCAUUGGAGAAGGAAUUGCAAGUUAUACCUUACAAGUCUUAAGGACAAGCCACAAGGUAUGGUUUAUGUCCUUAUCUUCAAUUCUAAAUGUUAGAUCUUCUAAAUAUUUAUAUUUGAUAUAAAGAGCUAAUCACUUGUAUAAUUGUAUAUAGGUGGAGAAGCCAAGUAGAAGAAGAACAAGCAAAGAAAUGUGGUGAAGGGUUCGGCCACUAUGUUUUUUGCUCACUACUUAGGAAGUUUGUUAGGCAUUAAAGAUUGUCUUUAAACUUUCUUAUUUUGAUAAGAACUUAUUAUGUGGCUUCAUGUGAUGGAAGACCACUAUAUAGUGCCUAAAUGUAUAAAGGUAUUUAUAUUAGUCUCUAAAUGUAUAGAGCUAAUACUUUUUGUAUUAAACAUUAUGAAUUUUUGAACUAUCAUAUUAAUGUAAUGUGAAGUAUGACUUUUUAAUAUACUAUUUCCUUAAAGUAGUGUUAUGAAUUGAAAAUUGUCUUGUUGUAUCCUAGAUGAGAUACAAGAGUUAUAUCACUUAAUUGUAAUGUGAUAAACCAAACUUUAGAUUUAUCAAUUAUGGAUAGAUCUCACAUGUAGGACAUAAAAGGAUACAAUGAAUCUUUAGAUUUGGUUCCAUUUGUCUACUUAUGAGUUCUAUAUGAAUUGACAAAAGUCUAGAGAAUCCUUUCUUGAAGAAAAGGAAGAUCACAUUAUAAUGAUAUAAGUAAUAAGAAAACGUUUCUUAUAUGGUUAUCACUUGAAACACAAUGAUCAAGAUCACUCUUGAUUCAAUUUGUAGUUUUGAACAAUUAAUUGGGCAUUCUUAAAAUUGUUUUAAAAAUGUCAAAUGUGUUAGUGAUUAAACCAAGAAAGAAGUGUCUAAAUCUAUAAAAGGUUUAAAGACUUUAGUCACUUAAAUAACAAGACAUUAAACUUAGUGAAGAUUGAAACAAAUAAGCUUGAAAUGUUUCAAAGCUACUACACAAUGUCUUCUACCAAUAUAAUCCACUUUUAUACAUUUUGAAUGUAUGAAAUGAUUUCUCAUUAAAGUCAUGAGAAAUAGUGGGAGGUGUGAAAAUGGAUAUAAACUUGAAUGUGAUUGGUUUAUAGUUGUCUAAAGAAUAAUAGUACUUGACUAUUAUUAAGAGUUUGUAAUUUUAAUUGUUAAAAGGACUCAAGCUCUUCAAACGUUAAAAUUCUAUGUUGUGUAACAUUUAAAGAAUAGUCUUUGAAUGUUGGUUUCGUCAACCUAGCAUAAAAUGGUUAUAUGUUGGGAGUUGUGCAUCAUUCUCUUUUAUGAGAACAUGCUAAUAACAAAGCAUAUGGACAAGUUGAUGAAACAAAAGGGAAUAAGUUUCAAAAUGAGUCACAACAUAUGGUUUAACAACAAGACAAUCCAAAUUCAACAUCUCAUGUAACGAUAUUGCUCUAUGUAGUUUUGAUAAAGAAUUAUAUCAACCACCUAGAAGGAAUGGUUGAGUUUCUAUAUCCUUAGUAGGAGCCAUGCUUCCACUAAAGACUUAGAUAAUUCUUAUAUGACUACGUUAAAGGUCUUAGUAUGACUAAAACUUGAAGUAUGGUGUAUGACACCAUAUAAUUUAAAUGAAUAGAUUUGAUAAAGCAAGUCACACAUUUCAUGGAAUUGCUUGAGAAGGAAUUCUUUUAUGUAUGAUUCAUUUAAAAUUAGUGGGAGCAAUAUGCAUUCAAUUCAAGAAAAUAUAAUUGUUAAUUUUGAAUGAAUGCUAAGUUACAACAAGGCCAGUGGGAGUGAUGUCAUAAUUUGAGCAACAAGAUGUGAAUAGAGUCUAUUUGAUAGACUUGAUGAAACAUAGAUGUUACUCGAAAAAUGACAAAACAUGACACGGUCAAUUUUGAAGUAUAGACUUGAAAUUGGACUUACUGAUAUAGCAAGGCUAUCUCAAUAAUGUUAUAUGGGAAUUAAAUCUCAAAUGUUGAAGAUUUAAGAAAGCAUUUUCCUAUGUGAUAGGAAAUCACUUUCAUAACCCUUAUAAUGAAUGUGUCAUAAAAUCAUAAAAGGGACACAUGUAUUGACUUGUGAAGUAGAUAUCCAAAGGUGAAGAAACCACUGAGUUUAUCACUUUAAGAUAUUACUAUAUCCCAGGAUCAGAACCAAAGCAACUGAUAGAGUAUUAUUGCCUUUAAGAAAGAAACAUCAGAGUGGGACUCUGGAAGCGUGCAUUCACUUCGGUUGUUAACCAAAGUGAAAAUAAACCAUUUUAACAAAUGGAACUUCAUAAUGGAUGAAGUACUAAUCAUAUGAAUUGUUAGUAUUGUACUGCAAUGGUCUCAAGGUUGGAGCAAAGCUUGUAUAAAGUAUACAAACGAAAUAUAUGUCGAUAUAUAGUUUUAAAAACUGCUUGAAAAGGUGUUUUGAAUGGAAGGGGUUCUUUUAGAACCAAUGAUUGAAUCCAAACCAUAAGGUCGUUAGUAGAGUACUACGACGUAAUGGGGCGAUAGCUCAAGCCAUGGAAUCAAGGUCUCAUCAAAGUAUUCGAACACAAUAAAGAGACAUCAUCAAAUGUUCUGGAAACAUUUGAUAAGAAAAUCCCUUUUAAAUAUAAAAGAGAUUAAUACAUAACCAAGUUAACCUACGAGCAUAAACUCUCUCGACAAGAUGUAUAAGAUACACUAAUGAUUGACUUUAGUGCAAGUGGGAGAUGUUGGAAAUAUGCCCUGAAAGUCAAUCUUUGGAGAAACCUUUCAGGACAAAUGAAUCGAUGUAUGGAUGAUUCUUAUACAUCAAAUGGCAAAGACACGAAUUAGGACUAUCUCAAUAAACGAUAUAUGUCCUAAAUAGUGUAUCCAUGGACAAUGGAUCGAUUGAAGAAGUAAUCUAAUGAUGUUAGACUACAGAGACCUUCUUCACAUAACCAAAUGUCCAAAAAGGUUCCUGGUCGUUGGAUUGUCGGAGGGAUACUGACAAUGCGUAGACCGGUACAUACUGUGUCUGCUUCAAUUGGAAGGAUGGAAAGUCUCAUCCCAUUUGUGUUGUGACACUAAGACAAGUAUGUAGGUGCUCAUUAGGGGAAUGAGUUCACUGAACACAAUCGAACGAGAGUACUUGCAUGGAGGUCUACUCACAUGUCAAGCAAGUAACUCUAAUGGUUGGAAAGAUGUAAGUAAUCCUUAGACCUGAGGCAUCGUCGUUGUCUUGUGGUUAAGUACUUAAUCUUUGAUUAUGUCAAAGUCUCCCCAUUCGAGGGUGUCCACGGCAUAAUUGGGGUUAAGCCACUUAGUCAUGAAGGCAAGUGUAUGCGCAACAAGGAAUCUCUAAUCCUCGAUAAGAGAGGAAGAAUACUCUAAGCUAUGAUUCGGGAAUCUUCGGCCGGAGUAUCAAGCGUAAUAAAGGAAAGCGUUCCUAUACGACUCAAUUGAAUCAUAUAAGAAGGAAUAAUCACAUUAGGGGUUUGACAUAAUAUAUCCAUACCUUAAUGAUGUGAUUGAGAGUAUUGUAUUAGAGAAGGAUCGAAUUACAUUGUAAUUCCAACUGAAUAGGUUCUCCGAAUAAACUUCUACAUUAGCUUGGGUAGCUAUGACAUAUGGUUAGAUGUCACUCAUAGCUUGUGAGUUCUUCUAGAUGAUUAAAUGUAGUCAUCAAAGAAGAAAGGUGAAUUGAAAUGAAGUUUCAAUUCACUAAGUGAUUGAAUUAAAUUGGAUUGGUGCCAAUCACCUCACUGCCUUGCUAAUUAGAACCUAAAAAGAUUGUUCACCAAUACACUAUUGUAGUGAGUAACUAAUGGAUGAUGGAAAUAAUUAAUUGGAUUAAUUAAUUGUUGUGAUUAAUUUAGAAAGUCUAAAGAAAUCAUAAAAAAGCGAUAAAGAUCGUUUUGGGCUUAAGAAACGUUCGGGUUUAAUUGGGCCGAUUGGACCUAAACCCAUUGGGCUUUUAUUCAAGCAUUGGAUGACUUGAAAUAAUAAAAGCCCAAAGCCCAAACAAACAACAAAAGAGGCCGGCCACUUUAAGGUGGAAAGGGUGAGAUAUUUAGUCAAGUGUUGACUAGGUUUCUUUUGUCUAUAUAAGGAA